RNAcentral lists this long non-coding RNA (1052 nucleotides) under Nicotiana benthamiana. RNAcentral's name for it is "long non-coding RNA (NBEN_LNC005418)". The record is from RNAcentral. Lineage: Eukaryota; Viridiplantae; Streptophyta; Magnoliopsida; Solanales; Solanaceae.
GCCCCCCUUCUCUUGAGGUAGCAUUUCAAAAAUGAGUUGAACUGGAAUCAUCUGUUUAGGCACCUGCUUCAAAUGGAGCUUCCAGAAAGCCCUUCGCUAAUGGCGAAGGUUUUUCUAUGCUACAUGGCCUAGGUCUGACCGCCUACCUUUUGUUUUGACUUUUCUUUAGUCAGGAAUGGCUUUUUCUUUAGCGGAAAUGGUCGGAACCAAGCAACUAGUCCCCCGGGACUUGAAAAAGAGGUUUCAACUAUCAAUCGUUGCCCUUAUGUUGAGGAGAUUUGGAAGCACUUGCUGAAUACCCUCCUAGCCAGGGGAUCCCCCUUGCCCUUGCAAGAUGAGGCCGAGUAGGUGAUGCACCAUUAUCCGGGGCAUGGUCUCAUUAGCUCUAUUACGAAACUGCUUUUUUUUGGAAAACCAUAUAUAAUACUUGGAGGGAGCGAAAUGCCCGGAUUUUCAAGCAAUCUUAUAAAUAAGCAACUAGUCCCUCGGGACUUGAAAAAGAGGUUUCAACUAUCAAUCAUUGCCCUUAUGUUGAGCAGAUUUGGAAGCACUUGCUGAAUACCCUCCUAGCCAGGGGAUCCCCCUUGCCCUUGCAAGAUGAGGCCGAGUAGGUGAUGCACCAUUAUCCGGGGCAUGGUCUCAUUAGCUCUAUUACGAAACUGCUUUUUUUUGGAAAACCAUAUAUAAUACUUGGAGGGAGCGAAAUGCCCGAAUUUUCACGCAAUCUUAUAAAGCCCCAAGGGAGAUUUUUUACCAGAUUUACGCAUAAAGAAAAGGUAGGAUUUCAGCUUCCAAGUUGAAGUACUCUAAUUCGACCCGUGACCAGCAGAUAUUAGCCAGAAAGGGCUCCUUCCCCUUCUUGCUGCCAUAGAAGCAUGAAAAAAUGGAGUUUUCCUGUAACCAUUCUGAAACCAAGAAAGCCCUUAUUUCUGCCUAUAGAAUGAUUCUUCCACGACUCUCGCUUGGGUUCUAACUUCAAACUUCAUAGGAGUUCUGACCCACUUGACUUUUUGGUACCGAAAACAAAGGUUCGAAAUCCCAGUUGAGGCAAA